AGAAUGGAGUUCUUCAACUCCAUCCAGGUAAAUAUUAAAGAUGUA
This is a non-coding RNA of Otolemur garnettii (small-eared galago), 45 nucleotides long. The record is from Rfam. NCBI's taxonomy places the organism in Eukaryota, Metazoa, Chordata, Mammalia, Primates, Galagidae.